AGCUUUGCGCAGUGGCAGUAUCGUAGCCAAUGAGGUUUAUCCGAGGCGCGAUUAUUGCUAAAAUCACACUGGAGAAACAGCUGUGCCCCAGGUAAUGACCCUUAAAUCUAAAAAUGUUACACUAAAAGAUAAUUUUAGAAGUAAUCUAUUUCGGAUG
This 157-nucleotide small nuclear RNA is filed under the name Canis lupus familiaris (dog). RNAcentral describes it as "U4 spliceosomal RNA (multiple genes)". It matches the Rfam family "U4 spliceosomal RNA". Rfam says of the family: U4 small nuclear RNA (U4 snRNA) is a component of the major U2-dependent spliceosome. The record is from Rfam by way of RNAcentral. RNAcentral also lists the same sequence under 1 other name. Lineage: Eukaryota; Metazoa; Chordata; Mammalia; Carnivora; Canidae.